UACGAAGGGGGCUAGCGUUGUUCGGAAUUACUGGGCGUAAAGAGCGUGUAGGCGGCCCCCAUUAGUCCGCUGUGAAAGUCCAGGGCUCAACCCUGGAAUGCCGGUGGAUACUGUGGGGCUAGAGUCCGGAAGGGGCGAGUGGAAUUCCUGGUGUAGCGGUGGAAUGCGCAGAUAUCAGGAGGAACACCAAUAGCGAAGGCAGCUCGCUGGGACGUUACUGACACUGAGGCGCGAAAGCGUGGGGAGCGAACAGG
This 254-nucleotide ribosomal RNA is filed under the name uncultured bacterium. RNAcentral's name for it is "partial 16S ribosomal RNA". It matches the Rfam family "Bacterial small subunit ribosomal RNA", at positions 524 to 776 of the family's 1533-position model. The record is from RNAcentral.